RNAcentral lists this ribosomal RNA (251 nucleotides) under uncultured bacterium. RNAcentral's name for it is "partial 16S ribosomal RNA". It matches the Rfam family "Archaeal small subunit ribosomal RNA", at positions 474 to 727 of the family's 1478-position model. The record is from RNAcentral.
UACCAGCACCCCGAGUGGUCGGGACGUUUAUUGGGCCUAAAGCAUCCGUAGCCGGUUCUACAAGUCUUCCGUUAAAUCCAACUGCUUAACAGGUGGGCUGCGGAAGAUACUAUAGAGCUAGGAGGCGGGAGAGGCAAGCGGUACUCGAUGGGUAGGGGUAAAAAUCCGUUGAUCCAUUGAAGACCACCAGUGGCGAAGGCGGCUUGCCAGAACGCGCUCGACGGUGAGGAUGAAAGCUGGGGAGCAACCGG